GGCAGGGUGACUUCCGGUUUAUUUCCGGGUUAUAACGAAGUUUAAUAACAGCGAUAAUAUGGACUAAUUAUCGUACCAGAUAUGAUUCAAAUAAGCUGAUGGUAUCUACUGAGAUCAUUACUUUGAAUGAAGAACAUCAAUACAAUCAGUUGGGCUGCUAGAUUGGUAGCAACAUGAUGUAAGCUAAUGCCUGUUGAAACACUAUUGUUGGUUGGGCAUCUAUUGCUUACUGGACCGCUAUAUUGAAUGGACCAUACGUGUUGGUUGAACAACUAUAAAUGGUUGGACCGGUAGUGUUGGUUGGACCACCAGUGUUGUUUGAACUGCUUGUUGGACAGAAUGUGUGAUGGACAAUUAGUAUUAUUUGAAUCACUGUUGGAUAGACAGCUUCUGUUUUAUCAGACAGCUAUAAUCAGUUGAUUUACAAGUUCCUGGCGGAUAAAUAUUCGCUGUAUAGAAGGAAACAAAAAAGUUCUUUUGCUAACUGUAACAAUGACAUGGUUGGUGAAUUGGUAUCAGACAAUUUGCAGCCAAGACAACACAGUGGAGUGAUAGCCGAUUCCUUAAACUCUAAAUGGCAAAUAAAUUUACCGACAAUAGUUGAUUUUUUUAUGUCACUUGUCUAUUAUAACUUGCAUUUACAAUCAUAAAGAGUGGUCAAUGAAAAUAUGAAGUGAACUUGUCAGAUAAAACAAAAACAAAUGUGCGCACACUUACAUAUUGACUUGACAUUAAAAUAAAAAUUCAUAGAGGAUACAUCAUAGCUUUUGCUUUUCUGUGUGUUUUUUUCCCGACCAAAAAAUAAAAUUGUUAUUUUA
Long non-coding RNA from Mya arenaria, 818 nucleotides. RefSeq lists it as uncharacterized. The record is from RefSeq and is a predicted model, not a curated record. The transcript is spliced from 2 exons. Lineage: Eukaryota; Metazoa; Mollusca; Bivalvia; Myida; Myidae.